RNAcentral lists this long non-coding RNA (321 nucleotides) under Ananas comosus (pineapple). RNAcentral's name for it is "long non-coding RNA (ACOM_LNC010480)". Lineage: Eukaryota; Viridiplantae; Streptophyta; Magnoliopsida; Poales; Bromeliaceae. The record is from RNAcentral.
UGGCGUAGUUUAUAAGAAAAUGAGAGUUUUGAAGGAGUUGGAGGAGAAGAAGAGAUUUUAAAGAGAUGAGCUUUGGAAGAGAGAGCUUUGGAGGAAAGAGUUGGAGGAGAAGAGUUGGAGGGGAUAGAAAUGGAGAAAAAGGAGUUUUUAAGGAAUAAAAGAGAGUUGGUUGGAACAAGGGACAGUUUUGGCGAUUGAUUUCCUGCCAAAACCUAACCCUUCCAUCAACUCCCGUUCAGCUUCGUUAACUGGAACUGACGGAAGGGGCAACAAGACUACAAUAUUAAAGUUUAGGGGGCUAAAUAUCAAUUUUAAGAGUUU